UUCCCAGAAUGCUUCUUUCCUCUGUCUUCCUGUCAGCAGACUACACCAAAACCUGAAUGAGACUGAAUGUGUACAGUAAUGUUUCAUCU
Dipodomys spectabilis (banner-tailed kangaroo rat) is the source of this 89-nucleotide long non-coding RNA. RefSeq lists it as uncharacterized. The record is from RefSeq and is a predicted model, not a curated record. The transcript has 4 exons. NCBI's taxonomy places the organism in Eukaryota, Metazoa, Chordata, Mammalia, Rodentia, Heteromyidae.